ACACGUAGGGGGCGAGCGUUGUCCGGAAUUACUGGCGUAAAGGGCGCGUAGGCGGCCUAAUAAGUCAGAUGUGAAAGUCCUGGGCUUAACCCAGGGAUUGCAUUUGAAACUGUUGGGCUUGAGGACAGGAGAGGAAAGCGGAAUUCCCAGUGUAGCGGUGAAAUGCGUAGAUAUUGGGAGGAACACCAGUGGCGAAGGCGGCUUUCUGGACUGUCCCUGACGCUGAGGCGCGAAAGCCAGGGGAGCGAACGGGAUUAGAUACCCCGGUAGUCCUGGCCGUAAACGAUGGAUACUAGGUGUGGGAGGUAUCGACCCCUUCCGUGCCGCAGCCAACGCAUUAAGUAUCCCGCCUGGGGAGUACGGCCGCAAGGCUGAA
RNAcentral lists this ribosomal RNA (376 nucleotides) under uncultured bacterium. RNAcentral describes it as "bacterial SSU rRNA". It matches the Rfam family "Bacterial small subunit ribosomal RNA", at positions 523 to 898 of the family's 1533-position model. The record is from RNAcentral.